Long non-coding RNA from Gasterosteus aculeatus aculeatus (three-spined stickleback), 864 nucleotides. RefSeq lists it as uncharacterized. Lineage: Eukaryota; Metazoa; Chordata; Actinopteri; Perciformes; Gasterosteidae. The record is from RefSeq and is a predicted model, not a curated record.
GGGUGGGUGAGGGGACUAAAUGCAGUGGACGAGUAAACCCAAUGAGCCUUAGCGAGAAAGCAGGAGGGUCAAGGAAUCAGUCACACAACCAGGAGCAGCUACACUGCUGCGUUGUUGCUGAUCCACCCGUAUCCAGGCUGAACUAUGAUUGUUGUCAGUGUGGAUCCGCUGGAUGCAGCAAGAGAAGCAGACGGGAAUCCCAUUUAUCUCUCUUUCCAUGCCCCGUGGCAGCGCAGGGGUCUUACAGAAUGAGGACCACCUACGAAGACUCAUGGAAUGCCGAAACACGCUGUUCAAAGGGAUCCAAAAACAAACAAACUGAAAACAAAAAAUACUUAAUGUUGUGUUUUAUGACUUUGUUCGUUAUACCAUUGUGACUUUUUUUUACGUGACAUCUUCACGAUUACCAUACUAUAACAUCAUUUCUGAGGACUUUUUUGACACCCCAUACUAUACUAUGUUAUGCUAUUAUUUAUAUUUUAAGUUGGACAAUUGUGGUUUUUGAAACCCCCUUUUUCUUCUAAUAUAUAUAAUAUAUCAUGAAUGAAUUAGGAUUCUGAUCCUAUCAAGCUCUUAGAUUGUUUAUUUUCUGUGCCUUCAUUUCACAUUAGAGUGGGUAAGUGUGCUCAAAAGAGUUGUACUUCAUCUCACAUCUGCUGUUCGCACUGACGGUUUUAAUAUUCGCCACGGUCUCUUAACAUCUGAGACUUACUGAUUGUGAACUGCCCGUGGGAAGAAUUAACACAGAGUCUGUGGAUUCUUGGUUAGAGACUCAACACACUCCUCAUUUUGGGGAACGCCAAGUGGAACAAUUUCUAACCGGCAUAAUUCUCAUUCUCUCUUCCGUCUCUCAUGUCUCACUUA